UAAGAAUAUUCCGCAAUGGACGGAAGUCUGACGGAGCGACGCCGCGUGGAUGAAGAAGGCUGAAAAGUUGUAAAAUCCUUUUGUUGAUGAAGAAUAAGGGUGAGAGGGAAUGCUCAUCUGAUGACGGUAAUCGACGAAUAAGCCCCGGCUAAUUACGUGCCAGCAGCCGCGGUAACACGUAAGGGGCGAGCGUUGUUCGGAAUUAUUGGGCGUAAAGGGCAUGUAGGCGGUUAUGUAAGCCUGAUGUGAAAUCCUGGGGCUUAACCCUAGAAUAGCAUUGGGUACUGUGUAACUUGAAUUACGGAAGGGAAACUGGAAUUCCAAGUGUAGGGGUGGAAUCUGUAGAUAUUUGGAAGAACACCGGUGGCGAAGGCGGGUUUCUGGCCGAUAAUUGACGCUGAGAUGCGAAAGUGUGGGGAUCGAACAGGAUUAGAUACCCUGGUAGUCCACACCGUAAACGAUGUACACUAGGUGUUGGGGCAAGAGCUUCAGUGCCAAAGCAAACGCGAUAAGUGUACCGCCUGGGGAGUAUGCCCGCAAGGGUA
RNAcentral lists this ribosomal RNA (545 nucleotides) under uncultured bacterium. Its description in RNAcentral is "bacterial SSU rRNA". It matches the Rfam family "Bacterial small subunit ribosomal RNA", at positions 356 to 896 of the family's 1533-position model. The record is from RNAcentral.